GAUGAAGAACGUAGCGAAAUGCGAUAGGUAAUGUGAAUUGCAGAAUUCAGUGAAUCAUCGAAUCUUUGAACGCACAUUGCGCCCCCUGGUAUUCCGGGGGGCAUGCCUGUCCGAGCGUCAUUACAACCCUCAAGCUCAGCUUGGUGUUGGGCCCCGCCGCCCCGGCGGGCCCUAAAGUCAGUGGCGGUGCCGUCCGGCUCCGAGCGUAGUAAUUCUUCUCGCUCUGGAGGUCCGGUCGUGUGCUCGCCAGCAACCCCCAAUUUUUUUCAGGUUGACCUCGGAUCAGGUAGGGAUACCCGCUGAACUUAAGAAUAUCAAUAAGCGGAGGA
RNAcentral lists this unclassified non-coding RNA (329 nucleotides) under soil metagenome. RNAcentral's name for it is "partial contains 5.8S ribosomal RNA, internal transcribed spacer 2, and large subunit ribosomal RNA". The stretch from base 1 to 120 matches the Rfam family "5.8S ribosomal RNA", at positions 35 to 154 of the family's 154-position model. The record is from RNAcentral.